Molecule: long non-coding RNA, 831 nt
Organism: Xyrauchen texanus (razorback sucker)
Lineage: Eukaryota; Metazoa; Chordata; Actinopteri; Cypriniformes; Catostomidae
Exons: 3
Source: RefSeq, a predicted model, not a curated record
CAGUCGGGCAAAGUGGAAACUCUGGACAUCUAUUAUGGAGGAUGUAGGCGGUUGAUGAUAUCUGUUUGGGGCGGCGCACCAGGAGCCAGGGGUGUGUGGGCUUUUGGGUGAAAUACACACUCAAGUGUGUGUGUGCAGUGACUGUAAGAUUGACAGCUCUGCAAAAACUAACAGAAGAAAAGUUUCCUUCAGCUGCAUGUUGAUGUUCAGCGCUGUAGGUGGAGGACAGAGCCGCCACAUGAUAUCGUCGCAGUUACAGGACGAGGACAGGUGGAGGAGCCACAGGUGUCCAGGUGUGUGCUGAUAUUUUGGGUGAGUUUGGCAGGCAGCAAGACAAUAGGGAAUGUGUCAUUUCUGAAAUAGAAUCUGGUCCGCUGAGAUAAGAGAAGAAAGCAGCAGAAAUGUCUUUAAAGAGACAGUAAAAUGCAGUAUGAAUAUCUGAGUCUGUGACUGCAGUAAAGUCGAGGUAAUAUGACUCACUUGUUGCUGUAAUGCUGUGAGAUAUACAUUCAAAUACAUUCACCAACUUCCUGUUUCACAAACAGUUUAUUACUUUACCUCAGUAUAAAUCUUCUCAGCUCCACUGCCAUCUCCUUACAAAAAAGUACCAUGUCCUAUUUCAUCCCAAUUUCAGAAGAUGAAAAUAUGAAAAUAUAUAUUUACAUAAAGAAAUGUAAGCCUAUUUUUAGACGCAUUCUGACAUUAUUUUCAUAACAAUUAAACAGAUUUUUCUACCAAAUUUGCAUUAUUGUAAUGCAUGAAAAUGUAAUUCUAAUUACUGUAAUACAGUAAUGAAAAUCAACUAGUCUGGAUACAAUGCUUUUUUAUUAU